This is a long non-coding RNA of Oncorhynchus mykiss (rainbow trout), 775 nucleotides long. RefSeq lists it as uncharacterized. Lineage: Eukaryota; Metazoa; Chordata; Actinopteri; Salmoniformes; Salmonidae. The record is from RefSeq and is a predicted model, not a curated record.
GGGGGCAAACUACCCGCCCUCCAGGACACCUACAGCACCCAAUGUCACAGGAAGGCCAAAAAUAUCCUCAAGGACAUCAACCACCUGAGCCACAGCCUGUUCACCCCAUUGCCAUCCAGAAGGAGAGAUCAGUACAGGAUGGAAACCCAGCUAUUGACACCCUAAAGACUCUGGCAGCUGCUCUAGUCCAGUGUCACUUUGACUAUGUCUGCACAUGGUUCACCAGCAGCCCCAAACAUCUGAAGAAUAAACUACCAGCCAAACAAGCUUAAUGUUUCCACCAUCACUUCCGAUGACCGAAAAGAGCUCCUGGACAUCAGAACAGCAAUCACUAACCUGGAUUUGGAUGAAGAUUUCUAUCUCGACGAGUCGGCGGCGCAGACAUACUGGUCACCCAGGACCAGGCCCUAAUUCCCAACACUCUGAAGAGAAAGAGACAACAAUAUAGAGGCCGACAUGUAGGAACCAUGAAGAAACAAUGGCGGCGAGUAAAUAAACCGCUUCUACCCUCUUUUCUAUUGGCGAAUGUACAAUCACUGGAGAACAAACGGGAUGAGCUCCAUUCGAGACUAUCCUAUCACCUAUCACCUCUUCAUUCAACGACUCAAUCAUGGACACUCUAUCUGACAGUUGUGGCUACUUCGUGUGAUGUACUGUUGUCUCUACCUUCUUGCCCUUUGUGCUGUUGUCCGUGCCAUACAAUGUUUGUACCAUGUUUUGUACUGCUACCAUGUUGUGCUGCUGCCAUGUUGUGUUGCUACCAUGUUGUUGUCAU